This is a long non-coding RNA of Asterias rubens (European starfish), 829 nucleotides long. RefSeq lists it as uncharacterized. The record is from RefSeq and is a predicted model, not a curated record. The transcript is spliced from 5 exons. Lineage: Eukaryota; Metazoa; Echinodermata; Asteroidea; Forcipulatida; Asteriidae.
AAAGGAAAAACAAAACGGGGGAAACCCACUUAGAAAGACUCCACCCCAAAACAUGUUUCUUUAUGUUUGUGGUCCCAACCACCCAACACUUACCCCCCCCCCUGAACAGUAUAUGCAAAUUGGCCUACGUAGGCCUACGUCAUGGAAAUCGCCGCCAUAUUGGAUAGAAAAUGGUGAACGGUGAAAAAGACCUCGCGUGUUGCUGCAAGUUUUUUUUCACAUGUUAUGAACAAUUAAGCAGCAAAAUUACAGCAAAGAUAGCAAGAUAGAUGUACAUGCCACACCAACCCAUGCAUUCACCAAGGACCUGUUCAAGAAACCAAGAGGCAUUAUGCACCCCUCAUCAUGGGAGAGCAAAGACGAACAAUUGGUCUUAAUUCAAGGCCUACUGAUAGAUGUACAGCCACACCAACCCAUGCAUCCACCAAGGACCUGUCCAAGAAACCAAGAGGCAUUAUCACCCCUCAUCAUGGGAGAGCAAAGACGAACAAAUGGUCUUAAUUUAAGGCGUCAUAACAAAGACCCAUGUCAUCCAUGAAGCAGCACCUAAGUCAACAGUGUCAGUUCAUCAGCAAGGCUUGAAUGAAUGCACCGAGGGAGAUUCAAGCUCAACUUAAUGGAGGGCUGAGGUGGAUGUGUUGAGCUUUACCUGGAUGCUGUCUCUGUCACCUAAUGGAUCCAAGUCUUGACCUCUCUAGUUGCUCAAAUUUUGUCUGAAAAUGUGUUCAAGACUAUGAAACUAAAGCCUUGUGUUUUUUCACAAAUUUUGCCAGAAAGUUUGUUAUAUCAAAUUGUGCCCAAAAAUGUUUACAAGGCUUAUGGUUUUAUC